Molecule: unclassified non-coding RNA, 279 nt
Filed under: plant metagenome
Description: partial contains small subunit ribosomal RNA, internal transcribed spacer 1, and 5.8S ribosomal RNA
Source: RNAcentral
UCUCCGUUGGUGAACCAGCGGAGGGAUCAUUAUCAGAGUUUUACAACUCCCAACCCUUCUGUGAAUCUACCUAUCGUUGCUUCGGCGGACCCGCCCCAGCGAUCGGACGGCCCCGCGCCGGUCCGCGCCCUGGACCUAGGCUGUCGCCGGCGACCACACAAUCCUGUAUCCAUUAGUCUCUCUGAAUACGCCGCAAGGCUAAACAAACGCAUCAAAACUUUCAACAAUGGAUCUCUUGGUCCCGGCACUGAUGAACAAUGCAGCCGCUCGGAAGAGCAC